GACGAACGCUGGCGGCGUGCUUAACACAUGCAAGUCGAACGGAAACGCCCCGGUGGCUUUCCACGAGCGGCGACCGGGGGAGUAACACGUGAGUAAGCGGCCCUAGCCUUCGGGUUAACAUCAGAUAACUCGGGCUAAUACCGGAUAGGACUCCAUGCUGCCUGGUGGGGGCUGGCAAGCUUCGGCGGGUGUGGGUUGAGUCGCGGCUGGUCAGCUUGUUGGUGGGGUAGUGGCUUACCAAGGCUUUGACGGGGAGCCGGCCUGAGAGGGCGACCGGCGACAUUGUGCAUGAGAUUCCGCCCAGAAGCCGAGGGGAGGAAGCGGCGGUGAAUGUUGCACAGUGGGCGGAAGGCUGAGUGAACAACGCCGGGUGUAGGAUGACGGCCUUGGGUUUGUGAGCCGAUUUCGGGAGGGGCGAGUCUUGUGGUGACGGUACCUGCAGAAGAAGCACCGGCUAACUACGUG
Molecule: ribosomal RNA, 465 nt
Filed under: uncultured bacterium
Lineage: Bacteria
Description: partial 16S ribosomal RNA
Rfam family: Bacterial small subunit ribosomal RNA
Source: RNAcentral